ACGCGGUUUGUUAGUUCUGAUUGGCCGGGACUACCUCUCGACCCAGUUUCCUAGGAACCGCAUUCAAAAUGGUGGACAGCCAUGAAUUUAGUACUGAAAAAAUUGAUGUCGCACUGUAAAGUCAGGACGGUUCGUUCGACAGCUGUGUUACAAUUGAAAGCCUGUUCUAAAAAAGAGUAUUCUCCUCUUCACUUUGUACAUGGAUGGGUGAAGUAACUUCCACCCUCCGGGAUGAAAAUUCUCGUUUGUACUUCGACAGAUUGAAGUGAUAGUAAAUACUUCUGACAGAGGUGACUUGCAGGGAAAGUUUGGAUGCAAAGGACAACAUAUUGGAUUUGUUUUAUAUGUUAAAGAAGCUGCUUCCUGCAGAAACUAAGCGGAAAAGGAUUUCACCCUGGAUGUAAUGUUUGUUCUAACAAAUGACACAAUAUCAGUUGAUGAAUGAUAGAUGAUUUGGCAGCACUUGUGGGUGAUUUCUUUGAAGACCCACCUUUGGAAUCAUUCAAAAAGGCUUCAACAGAUGACUCAAUGCCAGUUGAUGAAAAAUAGAUGAUUUGGCUGCACUUGUCUGGGAUUUCAACAAGGAAGAGCCUUUGGAACCAUUUAAAAAGGUCGGACUCAAUGCUCGUAAAAUGGAUGCAAGCUGUUUUGAAAACCUUAAAAGCAGCUGUGGCGGUCCGUGGAAGUGUAACAUGCCCUAUUUCUCCAUAUGUCCAUUGGAGGGAGAAUCGUCUGAAAAACUAAUUUAAAACAGCUCCUAAAACGUUCUAGCUUUUUGCUUCCUGCGGAAGACGCCUCGUCCCAUCACAUGGGGGCUGAUGACGUCGCCUUUCAGUAAAUGAAGAAGCUAAAGAUGAAACUCACCUUUGAGGUUUUAACUGCACCACGUGAUCAGCUAGGCCUGGAUGGAAGAAAAACGGUUUAAUGCCCUCUUUAGCAGACAUUGUUCAUGCAAAGCUGAACAUACAAUUUGAAUUGUAAAUUGGCGAGUUUGUGGUGGUUUUUGUUAAUGAGGAGACACGUAUAAAUAUAUCGAGUUGAGUCUGUGUUUUUUACUUUCUAAAUUUCUGUCUUUCCGAAUCAAUCAA
Long non-coding RNA from Stylophora pistillata, 1088 nucleotides. Lineage: Eukaryota; Metazoa; Cnidaria; Anthozoa; Scleractinia; Pocilloporidae. The record is from RefSeq and is a predicted model, not a curated record.